RNAcentral lists this ribosomal RNA (359 nucleotides) under Kordiimonas sp. RNAcentral describes it as "bacterial LSU rRNA". It matches the Rfam family "Bacterial large subunit ribosomal RNA", at positions 2558 to 2925 of the family's 2925-position model. Lineage: Bacteria; Pseudomonadati; Pseudomonadota; Alphaproteobacteria; Kordiimonadales; Kordiimonadaceae. The record is from RNAcentral.
GCAGAUCCCAAGGGUAUGGCUGUUCGCCAUUUAAAGAGGUACGUGAGCUGGGUUUAGAACGUCGUGAGACAGUUCGGUCCCUAUCUGCCGUGGGCGUUGGAGAUUUGAGAGGAGCUGCCCCUAGUACGAGAGGACCGGGGUGGACGUACCUCUGGUGGACCUGUUGUGACGCCAGUCGCAUUGCAGGGUAGCUAUGUACGGAAGGGAUAACCGCUGAAAGCAUCUAAGCGGGAAGCCCCCCUCGAGAUAAGAUCUCCCUUAAGAACCGUGGAAGACCACCACGUUGAUAGGUCAGGUGUGGAAGUGUGGCAACACAUGAAGCUUACUGAUACUAAUUAUUCGAUCGAACUUGAUUUACC